GACGAACGCUGGCGGCGUGCUUAACACAUGCAAGUCGAGCGGUAAGGCCCUUUCGGGGGGUACACGAGCGGCGAACGGGUGAGUAACACGUGGGUGACCUGCCUCUAGCUCUGGGAUAAGCCUGGGAAGCUGGGUCUAAUACCGGAUAUGACCUCGCGGUGCAUGUUGCGGGGUGGAAAGCCUUGUGCGGCUAGGGAUGGGCCCGCGGCCUAUCAGCUUGUUGGUGGGGUGANGGCCUACCAAGGCGACGACGGUAGCCGGCCUGAGAGGGCGACCGGCCACACUGGGACUGAGACACGGCCCAGACUCCUACGGGAGGCAGCAGUGGGGAAUCUUGCGCAAUGGGCGAAAGCCUGACGCAGCGACGCCGCGUGAGGGAUGACGGCC
RNAcentral lists this ribosomal RNA (387 nucleotides) under uncultured bacterium. RNAcentral describes it as "bacterial SSU rRNA". It matches the Rfam family "Bacterial small subunit ribosomal RNA", at positions 28 to 416 of the family's 1533-position model. The record is from RNAcentral.